GCUGGAAGGCGGACUCGAAGACGCUGGCGCCUUCUAGGCCGUGACGUGCGGUUCCUCCUUAUCUCUUGCCUGAAUCUACCCUGAGACAAAUGACGCCUCUUUUUUAUCUGAUUUUUUUUUUAAGAUGCCCUGAAGAGUCCUGGAUGAGUGAAUCUCAGGCUUUGCAAAACUAUCUGGCCGUCUCUGACCGCUUGCUGCUUGCAGUUUCAGGCUGAACGGGGGAAGGUGCUCUUGGAUGAGCAGUGAAUAUUUGAACUAUACCACGGACGGGUAAUUUACAAAUGGUCCCAGAAAUUCCAGAAGCAGGAAACACUUGUACGGAAUAGCAGAGUCCUGAUCACCAAGGCCAGAGAAGGUUGGAGUGAAGGUGAUCUAAAAUGUGCAGAUGGAUUCAGCAUAAGUGAUUACCAGCUGGAACCAAAGCAUCUCGGCUGUUACAAGUGACGUCCACAGGCCGGAUCGCGCCGGGGAAGAGCUGAGCCCGCCAGCUAAGUGCAGGAGCUGCAAUCAGACGUGUGUUGGAAUUUCAGGUCCAGCAAUUCCUAAGUUCUGGAGUCUGAGAAGUCCAAGAUCAAGGUGCCAACAGACUCAGUGGCUGAUGAGAGCCAGCUUCCUGGUUCGUGGCCUGUGUCUUCUCGCGUGACCUCACAUGAAAAACGUCUAUCUGUACAAAAAAUGGAAAAAUGUCCUCAGUGUUACUGAAGGCCCGGCAGCCUUUUCUCUUUGCGAUGCUUCUUCAACACCAGAAACACGACCCGAGGGGUGACUGGUGGGCUGUGAACGUUUUGAAGCGUGUGACAGACAGCUGUACAUUUCCCUGACCAGGACAGGAGGCGGCCUUGCCCCGCCCUCUGAACAGGACAACUCUCAGCAGGCAGUUGGGAUGUAGCUGCAGUGACCCUGGGUUUGUGCCCAGAGCUGCACGUUGAUCGAAGUGGGAUCGGGCUGCACUGACAUCAUUCCUUACAAACUGCCUUUGACCGUAAACCUGGAACAUUCUUUCCUGUCCAUCAAUACAAUUUCAACCCCUCGUUUGAAAAAGCACAAAACUUGGUAGAAUAUUGAUAACUGUUGAAGCACAGAAAUAGCUACAUGGAGGUUUGUGAACUCUUUUCUUAAUUUUGUGCCUGUUUGAAACUUCCCCUGGUCAGACUUUUCAAAAUAGGUUCUAGCUUGCUCUUAUAUUCCCACUUCGGUUUUCUGCA
Molossus molossus (Pallas's mastiff bat) is the source of this 1205-nucleotide long non-coding RNA. RefSeq lists it as uncharacterized. The transcript is spliced from 6 exons. NCBI's taxonomy places the organism in Eukaryota, Metazoa, Chordata, Mammalia, Chiroptera, Molossidae. The record is from RefSeq and is a predicted model, not a curated record.